Molecule: ribosomal RNA, 229 nt
Filed under: Clostridioides difficile
Lineage: Bacteria; Bacillati; Bacillota; Clostridia; Peptostreptococcales; Peptostreptococcaceae
Description: partial 23S ribosomal RNA
Rfam family: Bacterial large subunit ribosomal RNA
Source: RNAcentral
AGACAGUUCGGUCCCUAUCCGUCGCAGGCGUAGGAAAUUUGAGAAGACCUGUCCUUAGUACGAGAGGACCGGGAUGGACGUACCUCUGGUGUACCAGUUGUCCUGCCAAGGGCAUGGCUGGGUAGCUGUGUACGGAAUGGAUAAGCGCUGAAAGCAUCUAAGCGCGAAGCCAACUUCAAGAUAAGAUUUCCCACCGCAAGGGUAAGACCCCAGAAAGACUAUCUGGUUG